RNAcentral lists this long non-coding RNA (769 nucleotides) under Nicotiana benthamiana. RNAcentral describes it as "long non-coding RNA (NBEN_LNC002776)". The record is from RNAcentral. Lineage: Eukaryota; Viridiplantae; Streptophyta; Magnoliopsida; Solanales; Solanaceae.
GGGGGGGGGGGGGGGAAUAUUAAGAUGGAAGAGAGGAAAUAGUUGCAGAAGAGAGUUUAGAGAGAGAGAGAGUUACAAAGUAAAAGAGAUGGGAAAUUAGAGAAGGGGGAGAGAGAUGGGCAGAGAGACAAAGUUGGAGGAGUUGUUGGAGAUAAGUGAUUUGUUUAAGCAAGUAAAUAGGCUAAUACAUGUAGUUGCGGUUGUUGUGUAAAAUUUCUCAGGCUGACUUGCCUUAACUUUUUUUGAAAACGUUUAGCUCAGCUUAGAUGUUUUGAAUUUCUUGAUUUGCUCAUGCUAAACUUCUUUUGACAAAUGUUUAACUCAAGGUAGGAGCUGGAAAUUUAUAUUUUAUUUGAUGAAAUAAAAUGCAAAAGUAGAAAUUUAAUCCGGGAUGGAAGUAGUACUUUUUAAGUUUAAUCUUUUAAGCCUUUUAAUUAAAAAGAAGGUAUAGUAAGUGGACAGGACGUACAUGUAUUAGGUAAUAUGAACACUUAACAUGAGUCAUUUUACUUUCAAAUUGGUCAAGAGGAAAUAGAGAAACUGGUAAAACCACGAGAAAAGAAAAAAUAAAAUAAAUUAAAGAAUCAUAGCAUAUUUGGCCAAGCUAUAAAAAUCAGCUUAUAUUGAGAAAUGUUUUUUUUCUCAGAAGUGCUUUUCUCAAAGUACUUUUGGUGAGAAGCAGUUUGUGUUUGGCUAAUAAAUUUGAAAAACGUUUCUGAGCAGCUAUUAGUGUUUAGCCAAACUUUUAAAGACUGUUUCUAAGGCCUCA